This 1404-nucleotide long non-coding RNA is filed under the name Marmota monax (woodchuck). Lineage: Eukaryota; Metazoa; Chordata; Mammalia; Rodentia; Sciuridae. The record is from RNAcentral.
AGAAACCUCGAGGACAGCAAUCACCAAAAGAAUUAACUUAUAUUCUAGUGUGCAUCCCAUGGAUGUCUACAGAAAAGAAAACAUGGUGACUAACAGCAACAUUGAAGAAUGAGCCAUGCUCAGUUCAACUAAGAAAAUGAUCAAAUGGGGACAGUUGCUAAAAAAAAUAAAAAUAAAAAUGGAGGCACAAAUUAGAUACAUCCCAAAUCCAACCACACUCAACUGUAUAGCCAGAGCAAGUCAUCCUGAUUUCCCCCCAGUGCUAACCUUAAUCAGACAAGAAAUGCAAAACAUAAGCUUAAUGUCUUUAUCAGCAUGAUUCAGUGAAAUUAAACCAAUCAGUUAUCAACAAAUCAGAGAAACAACUCUGCUUGCCCUAAAAGAACGUGAAUGCAUGACAUCCCAUCGUAAAGAAGGUCCAAAGUCUUCCUUCAUUAUGCUUUAUAAACCUUGUUCUACUGCCAUAAGUAGUGCUUCUUUCCACUUUUGGUUUGAAGUCUCCAAACUCCCCAACUGUUCUUUUGCAUGCACAAAAACUUCUAUAAUUUUAAAAUCUGAUCAGAUUUUAUUUUCAACAAAAUUCACAUUUAUAUUUCUUUGAGGAAUCACACUGAAAACACUCACCAUUCUCUCUUCUUGAAAGCUAAUCUUUGUGGUAUUGUAUUUCCAUGGUCCAUUUCUGAAAGAGCUGAGAGCAGGGAUAAGUAGUUUAGGCCACUUAUGCUGGGCUGGACAGCUGCUAAGAAAACAUACACUGGUGUUUAUUCCCAGAAGUUACAUGGCAUCGGUCACAGAUAUGAGUCAACCAGGAAUCAUCCCCACAUUUGUCAUUCUGGUAAUAAGGAUUAGAGGAUAAAAGUAUAAAAAUCAUCUGGGGGCAUUGCUGACCUCCUGGAAACAAAGGGUUCUCAUUUACCAUAGUCACAUCAGUAGCCAUAUCUAGAUGUCCUCAAAUAACUCUCCCUGUGUCUUCUACUUUUAUUUAUUCAUGUAUUUAUUUAUUAAAAUGAAGACCCCAGGCCUUGUGAACUAGCCCUACCUGCAUUGCAGAAUCGUAUCUUUCUCUGGGAGUUGUGUAAGAGCUGCAGCAAAAUCAUAUGUGAGCCUCCUUGUGUUAUAGUUCACAUGAUGCUGAUUAUAAGGAGCCACUUGAGUAUGAAGGAUGGAUUUUUAUUUCCCAUGUGCCCUCCUUUUUCAUUAUGACCCUCAUGUCAUCUCCAUCAAUCUAUCAGCAACAAACGUUGCCAUACUCUGCAACAAGGAAUUCUACAGCCUUUCUGGAUUUCAUGAAGACAGUAGUUUGUUAAUGUGGACAAUGUGUUCUCCUGAUAAUCGGAGCUGGAUAGAAACCUCUGGGCCUUGAUCUGUUUUUAAGCCUCUACAAACUUCUAGUGACUGUCCCCA